CUUUGGAUUCGCCUGUAAUCCAAGGCGGAAGGAG
Molecule: non-coding RNA, 34 nt
Submitted as: unclassified sequences
Source: Rfam